This 496-nucleotide ribosomal RNA is filed under the name uncultured bacterium. Its description in RNAcentral is "bacterial SSU rRNA". It matches the Rfam family "Bacterial small subunit ribosomal RNA", at positions 29 to 518 of the family's 1533-position model. The record is from RNAcentral.
AUGAACGCUAGCGACAGGCUUAACACAUGCAAGUCGAGGGGUAACAGGGUAGCAAUACCGCUGACGACCGGCGCACGGGUGAGUAACGCGUAUGCAACCUGCCUAUAACUGUGGAAUAGCUCCCUGAAAGGGGAAUUAACACCGCAUAACACUAUUGAUUCGCAUGGAUUGGUAGUUAAAUGUAGCGAUACAGGUUAUAGAUGGGCAUGCGUGACAUUAGCUAGUUGGUGAGGUAACGGCUCACCAAGGCUACGAUGUCUAGGGGUUCUGAGAGGAAGGUCCCCCACACUGGUACUGAGACACGGACCAGACUCCUACGGGAGGCAGCAGUGAGGAAUAUUGGUCAAUGGGCGCAAGCCUGAACCAGCCAUGUCGCGUGCAGGAAGACUGCCCUAUGGGUUGUAAACUGCUUUUAUAGUAGAAGAAACACAUCUACGUGUAGAUGUCUGCCAGUAUACUAUGAAUAAGCAUCGGCUAACUCCGUGCCAGCCGCAGC